AUAAUCCCUGAGAUAAGUAGUUCUGGCCCUAGAGUGUUAUAUAUAUUAGCGUCUGUAGCAUGUAUCAGGAACAUGUUAUCAUACCUGUGUCUUUUUGCAGGUUACUGAUGCCAGAUGAGAAGGGGAACGUGACCUAUAAUGCCGUCAGCUUUAAGAAAGGAUGCACAAUACAGGGGGAGAUUUAUCAAAACCUGUGCAGAGGAAGAGUGGUGCAGUUGCCCAUAGCAACCAAUCAGAUUGCAUCUUUCAUUUUCCAAAGGCCUCUUUAGAGGUGACUGAUGCCAGGUGAGAAGGGAAACGUGACCUAUACUUCCGUCAGUUGCAAGAAAGGAUGCACGAUACAGCCUUUUAAAGUUCUUUGCCAAACCAGCAGCACUAUCCAAAUCCAGCUUCCAGGUAGCAUUGCCAAGCCUCUGAGACAUCACAUGCCAUAAGGAUACCACGAGGUCUGCACUAAUACAUCGCUUGAUACCAUCCACUGCGAAAGAUCUUGGGAGCGGCUUCAAUUCAAUCCUGUCUGUGGCAGGCAGACCGCCGUGGUGACGCAUGCCAGCGUCUUAUCCCAUCCAAUACUUGCGGACCUCACCAUCUAUCCUCAGGUGACGUUUGUUUAAACACACACAAGGGUGGUAACUAUAUUCUAACUAUCCAUCUUACAUUUGCCAUAUCGGAAUCCCAUACUAUUUGCGGGACUUUAGAUUAUUUCUGGACUAUCAAUUGCCAGAUUAUUGAAAGUUACAUCAAUUUCAUUUUAAUCUACCUGUGUUAGAUAUAUGUUCUUAUAUAAUUUAUGCUUUAUACUUCUUU
Hyla sarda is the source of this 807-nucleotide long non-coding RNA. RefSeq lists it as uncharacterized. The transcript has 3 exons. The record is from RefSeq and is a predicted model, not a curated record. Lineage: Eukaryota; Metazoa; Chordata; Amphibia; Anura; Hylidae.